Molecule: microRNA precursor, 91 nt
Filed under: Canis lupus familiaris (dog)
Lineage: Eukaryota; Metazoa; Chordata; Mammalia; Carnivora; Canidae
Description: mir-8799 microRNA precursor family
Rfam family: mir-8799 microRNA precursor family
Source: Rfam by way of RNAcentral
CGGGGGAGGCCGGAUCCUGGGCUGUGUCCCCGUGCCCUGUGCUCCCGGUAUGCGCUGUUGGAUUCGCGCUCCCGAGUCCCCGCAGCCCCCU